CUUGGGGGGGCGGGGCUAAUACAUGCAAGUAGAACGCUGAAGAGAGGAGCUUGCUCUUCUUGGAUGAGUUGCGAACGGGUGAGUAACGCGUAGGUAACCUGCCUUGUAGCGGGGGAUAACUAUUGGAAACGAUAGCUAAUACCGCAUAACAAUGGAUGACACAUGUCAUUUAUUUGAAAGGGGCAAUUGCUCCACUACAAGAUGGACCUGCGUUGUAUUAGCUAGUAGGUGAGGUAACGGCUCACCUAGGCGACGAUACAUAGCCGACCUGAGAGGGUGAUCGGCCACACUGGGACUGAGACACGGCCCAGACUCCUACGGGAGGCAGCAGUAGGGAAUCUUCGGCAAUGGGGGCAACCCUGACCGAGCAACGCCGCGUGAGUGAAGAAGGUUUUCGGAUCGUAAAGCUCUGUUGUAAGUCAAGAACGAGUGUGAGAGUGGAAAGUUCACACUGUGACGGUAGCUUACCAGAAAGGGACGGCUAACUACGUGCCAGCAGCCGCGGUAAUACGUAGGUCCCGAGCGUUGUCCGGAUUUAUUGGGCGUAAAGCGAGCGCAGGCGGUUUGAUAAGUCUGAAGUUAAAGGCUGUGGCUCAACCAUAGUUCGCUUUGGAAACUGUCAAACUUGAGUGCAGAAGGGGAGAGUGGAAUUCCAUGUGUAGCGGUGAAAUGCGUAGAUAUAUGGAGGAACACCGGUGGCGAAAGCGGCUCUCUGGUCUGUAACUGACGCUGAGGCUCGAAAGCGUGGGGAGCGAACAGGAUUAGAUACCCUGGUAGUCCACGCCGUAAACGAUGAGUGCUAGGUGUUGGAUCCUUUCCGGGAUUCAGUGCCGCAGCUAACGCAUUAAGCACUCCGCCUGGGGAGUACGACCGCAAGGUUGAAACUCAAAGGAAUUGACGGGGGCCCGCACAAGCGGUGGAGCAUGUGGUUUAAUUCGAAGCAACGCGAAGAACCUUACCAGGUCUUGACAUCCCGAUGCUAUUUCUAGAGAUAGAAAGUUACUUCGGUACAUCGGUGACAGGUGGUGCAUGGUUGUCGUCAGCUCGUGUCGUGAGAUGUUGGGUUAAGUCCCGCAACGAGCGCAACCCCUAUUGUUAGUUGCCAUCAUUCAGUUGGGCACUCUAGCGAGACUGCCGGUAAUAAACCGGAGGAAGGUGGGGAUGACGUCAAAUCAUCAUGCCCCUUAUGACCUGGGCUACACACGUGCUACAAUGGUUGGUACAACGAGUUGCGAGUCGGUGACGGCAAGCUAAUCUCUUAAAGCCAAUCUCAGUUCGGAUUGUAGGCUGCAACUCGCCUACAUGAAGUCGGAAUCGCUAGUAAUCGCGGAUCAGCACGCCGCGGUGAAUACGUUCCCGGGCCUUGUACACACCGCCCGUCACACCACGAGAGUUUGUAACACCCGAAGUCGGUGAGGUAACCUUUUGGAGCCAGCCGCUAAGGUGGAUAGGGAGG
This 1456-nucleotide ribosomal RNA is filed under the name Streptococcus salivarius. RNAcentral describes it as "bacterial SSU rRNA". It matches the Rfam family "Bacterial small subunit ribosomal RNA". The record is from RNAcentral. Lineage: Bacteria; Bacillati; Bacillota; Bacilli; Lactobacillales; Streptococcaceae.